Molecule: ribosomal RNA, 2928 nt
Filed under: Bacillus sp. LJBV19
Lineage: Bacteria; Bacillati; Bacillota; Bacilli; Caryophanales; Bacillaceae
Description: 23S ribosomal RNA
Rfam family: Bacterial large subunit ribosomal RNA
Source: RNAcentral
GGUUAAGUUAGAAAGGGCGCACGGUGGAUGCCUUGGCACUAGGAGCCGAUGAAGGACGGGACGAACACCGAUAUGCUUCGGGGAGCUGUAAGCAAGCUUUGAUCCGGAGAUUUCCGAAUGGGGAAACCCACCACUCGUAAUGGAGUGGUAUCCAUAUCUGAAUACAUAGGAUAUGAGAAGGCAGACCCGGGGAACUGAAACAUCUAAGUACCCGGAGGAAGAGAAAGCAAAUGCGAUUCCCUGAGUAGCGGCGAGCGAAACGGGACCAGCCCAAACCAAGAGGCUUGCCUCUUGGGGUUGUAGGACACUCUGUACGGAGUUACAAAGGAACGAGGUAGAUGAAGAGGUCUGGAAAGGCCCGCCAUAGGAGGUAACAGCCCUGUAGUCAAAACUUCGUUCUCUCCUGAGUGGAUCCUGAGUACGGCGGAACACGUGAAAUUCCGUCGGAAUCCGGGAGGACCAUCUCCCAAGGCUAAAUACUCCCUAGUGACCGAUAGUGAACCAGUACCGUGAGGGAAAGGUGAAAAGCACCCCGGAAGGGGAGUGAAAGAGAUCCUGAAACCGUGUGCCUACAAGUAGUCAGAGCCCGUUAACGGGUGAUGGCGUGCCUUUUGUAGAAUGAACCGGCGAGUUACGAUCCCGUGCAAGGUUAAGCAGAAGAUGCGGAGCCGCAGCGAAAGCGAGUCUGAAUAGGGCGAAUUGAGUACGUGGUCGUAGACCCGAAACCAGGUGAUCUACCCAUGUCCAGGGUGAAGUUCAGGUAACACUGAAUGGAGGCCCGAACCCACGCACGUUGAAAAGUGCGGGGAUGAGGUGUGGGUAGGGGUGAAAUGCCAAUCGAACCUGGAGAUAGCUGGUUCUCUCCGAAAUAGCUUUAGGGCUAGCCUCAAGGUAAGAGUCUCGGAGGUAGAGCACUGAUUGGACUAGGGGCCCCUACCGGGUUACCGAAUUCAGUCAAACUCCGAAUGCCGAUGACUUAUCCUUGGGAGUCAGACUGCGAGUGAUAAGAUCCGUAGUCGAAAGGGAAACAGCCCAGACCGCCAGCUAAGGUCCCAAAGUAUACGUUAAGUGGAAAAGGAUGUGGAGUUGCUUAGACAACCAGGAUGUUGGCUUAGAAGCAGCCACCAUUUAAAGAGUGCGUAAUAGCUCACUGGUCGAGUGACUCUGCGCCGAAAAUGUACCGGGGCUAAACGUAUCACCGAAGCUGCGGACUGUUCUUCGAACAGUGGUAGGAGAGCGUUCUAAGGGCUGUGAAGCAAGACCGGAAGGACUUGUGGAGCGCUUAGAAGUGAGAAUGCCGGUAUGAGUAGCGAAAGAGGGGUGAGAAUCCCCUCCACCGAAUGCCUAAGGUUUCCUGAGGAAGGCUCGUCCGCUCAGGGUUAGUCGGGACCUAAGCCGAGGCCGAAAGGCGUAGGCGAUGGAUAACAGGUUGAUAUUCCUGUACCACCUCCUCACCAUUUGAGCAAUGGGGGACGCAGGAGGAUAGGGUAAGCGCGGUAUUGGAUAUCCGCGUCCAAGCAGUUAGGCUGGGAAAUAGGCAAAUCCGUUUCCCGUGAAGGCUGAGCUGUGAUGGCGAGCGAAUUAUAGUAGCGAAGUUCCUGAUUCCACACUGCCAAGAAAAGCCUCUAGCGAGGUGAGAGGUGCCCGUACCGCAAACCGACACAGGUAGGCGAGGAGAGAAUCCUAAGGUGAUCGAGAGAACUCUCGUUAAGGAACUCGGCAAAAUGACCCCGUAACUUCGGGAGAAGGGGUGCUCUGUUAGGGUGCAAGCCCGAGAGAGCCGCAGUGAAUAGGCCCAGGCGACUGUUUAGCAAAAACACAGGUCUCUGCGAAGCCGUAAGGCGAAGUAUAGGGGCUGACGCCUGCCCGGUGCUGGAAGGUUAAGAGGAGCGCUUAGCGUAAGCGAAGGUGCGAAUUGAAGCCCCAGUAAACGGCGGCCGUAACUAUAACGGUCCUAAGGUAGCGAAAUUCCUUGUCGGGUAAGUUCCGACCCGCACGAAAGGCGCAACGAUCUGGGCACUGUCUCAACGAGAGACUCGGUGAAAUUAUAGUACCUGUGAAGAUGCAGGUUACCCGCGACAGGACGGAAAGACCCCGUGGAGCUUUACUGCAGCCUGAUAUUGAAUGUUGGUACAGCUUGUACAGGAUAGGUAGGAGCCUUGGAAACCGGAGCGCCAGCUUCGGUGGAGGCAUCGGUGGGAUACUACCCUGGCUGUAUUGACCUUCUAACCCGCCGCCCUUAUCGGGCGGGGAGACAGUGUCAGGUGGGCAGUUUGACUGGGGCGGUCGCCUCCUAAAAGGUAACGGAGGCGCCCAAAGGUUCCCUCAGAAUGGUUGGAAAUCAUUCGCAGAGUGUAAAGGCACAAGGGAGCUUGACUGCGAGACCUACAAGUCGAGCAGGGACGAAAGUCGGGCUUAGUGAUCCGGUGGUUCCGCAUGGAAGGGCCAUCGCUCAACGGAUAAAAGCUACCCCGGGGAUAACAGGCUUAUCUCCCCAAGAGUCCACAUCGACGGGGAGGUUUGGCACCUCGAUGUCGGCUCAUCGCAUCCUGGGGCUGUAGUCGGUCCCAAGGGUUGGGCUGUUCGCCCAUUAAAGCGGUACGCGAGCUGGGUUCAGAACGUCGUGAGACAGUUCGGUCCCUAUCCGUCGCGGGCGCAGGAAAUUUGAGAGGAGCUGUCCUUAGUACGAGAGGACCGGGAUGGACGCACCGCUGGUGUACCAGUUGUUCUGCCAAGGGCAUCGCUGGGUAGCUAUGUGCGGACGGGAUAAGUGCUGAAAGCAUCUAAGCAUGAAGCCCCCCUCAAGAUGAGAUUUCCCAUUCCGCAAGGAAGUAAGAUCCCUGAAAGAUGAUCAGGUUGAUAGGUCUGAGGUGGAAGUGUGGCGACACAUGGAGCUGACAGAUACUAAUCGAUCGAGGACUUAACCAA